RNAcentral lists this long non-coding RNA (259 nucleotides) under Homo sapiens (human). Its description in RNAcentral is "HSALNT0394957". Lineage: Eukaryota; Metazoa; Chordata; Mammalia; Primates; Hominidae. The record is from RNAcentral.
CUAUAACCCAGUGUAUCCAUCAGUGUUCUAGCCCAGUAACCCCUAAGAUAUAAAACCAGGAUGGGCUGCUUUUUGGGGUCCCUCAGCUGCAGUGUAAGUGGGGCAUGGGCAGACAGCAGUCCCUCCACCCCAGGCAUCUUUCCUGAGCCUCGGGGACCUGCUCAUUCUGGAUCCUAGACAUCUGUUGUCCCUCGCUGCCUAUCUUACCGGGAUUUUGUUGGAAGUGAAAAUCCAGACAGCUAAAAAAGCUACAUUUCCC